GGAAGAAAAUACAGACACCUCACUAGAACAGUCACACCUGCUGGAAAAGUCAUACCUGCUGAAAUACUAGACCUGCUGUAAGCCCUGAGGAUGGUUUCUCACUAUAAGAGAAAAGUCCUGAACUCAAAGAAUCCUAACUCCAGAGCUAAUACCAUUUCUUAAUGACACCACCAGAGACAUAUUUAUGGCACCUACUGACAAGAUGCCAAUCAAUCAUGGAGAACAAAUGACCAAGGAAGAAAGUUCUUUGUACUACAAGCAAAAGAACAUUUUUGCCCAUCUCUAAGCACUGUCUCAGCCACAGUAGU
Long non-coding RNA from Serinus canaria (Common canary), 308 nucleotides. RefSeq lists it as uncharacterized. The record is from RefSeq and is a predicted model, not a curated record. NCBI's taxonomy places the organism in Eukaryota, Metazoa, Chordata, Aves, Passeriformes, Fringillidae. The transcript has 3 exons.